RNAcentral lists this long non-coding RNA (1050 nucleotides) under Canis lupus familiaris (dog). Its description in RNAcentral is "lncRNA (ENSCAFG00030000573.1)". The record is from RNAcentral. Lineage: Eukaryota; Metazoa; Chordata; Mammalia; Carnivora; Canidae.
AUGCGCGGUCGGGGCUCCACCAACACUGCGCACAACCAAGGGCUCCAAUCGCCAAGCACUGGCCAAGUCUCUGCUUUUUCAUUUCCCGGCACGACCGCCAACUGUCCAGACCCCCGCCACCUGCGCAUUGGCCACCCCGCCACUGCCCUGCCUGCCUGGUCUGUCCCCUGCCCCGUCCAAGUCCGUCUCCCACCCGCCCUCCGGGUCUGUCCACCGCCCUGGUCCAGGCCCAUCCACUGCCUGCCUGCCCAGGUCCAGGCCCGUUCCCCUCCAGGCCCAUCCCCUGCCCGCCCUCUUGGUCUGUCCACUGCCCCGUCCAGGCCCAUCCCCCUCCUGCCCGCCACGUCCAGGCCCGUCCCUGUCCAGGCCCAUCCACCGCCUGCCCAGCCGUCCAGGCCCGCCCUGGCCUGUCCCUGUCCAAGCCUAUCCUCCUCCCACCCUUCCUGGUCCAGGCCCAUCCACCGCCCGCCGCCCUGUCCAGGCCUAUCCCUGUCCAGGCCCAUCCCCCUCCCAGCCUUCCCGGUCCAGGCCCGUCCCCCUCCCGUCCGCCCCGUCCAGGCCCAUGCACCGCCCGCCGCCCUGUCCAGGUCCGUCCCCCUCCCAGCCUUCCCGGUUCAGGCCUGCCCACCGUCCUCUGGCCCCGUCCAGGCCCAUGCACCGCCUGCCCCAUCCAGGCACGUCCCCCCUCUGUCCCCCGCCCCGGUCCAGGCCCGUCCCCCGCCUGGUCUGUCCCCCGCCCGCCCCGUCCCCCGCCCCGCCGGGCCUGCGGGGUCCUCCGGGCUCCGCCACCCCGUGUGCCCAGGACCCCCGGCGUCUGGGGUCAGCCCCGCGUCCCCCUCCCCAGGCCGCCCGGCGCCCGCACCGCGUCCCGCCGCCACCACCGUCCUGCCCGCGCCGAGCCCUCCGGAGCCGCCAGGGCUGCACCCGCCCGGCGCCCGCGCCCGCGCCUUCCCGGUGCGUGCACGUGGGCCCCCGCGGGGGCGCCGACCCCGUGGCCGCGGCCUGACCCGCCGCACGGCGGCCCCGACGGAACAGCGAGGCCUGCGGUGA